Molecule: ribosomal RNA, 468 nt
Filed under: uncultured bacterium
Lineage: Bacteria
Description: partial 16S ribosomal RNA
Rfam family: Bacterial small subunit ribosomal RNA
Source: RNAcentral
GACGAACGCUGGCGGCGUGCUUAACACAUGCGAGUCGAACGGAAAGGCCCUGCUUUUGUGGGGUGCUCGAGUGGCGAACGGGUGAGUAACACGUGAGUAACCUGCCCUUGACUUUGGGAUAACUUCAGGAAACUGGGGCUAAUACCGGAUAGGAGCUCCUGCUGCAUGGUGGGGGUUGGAAAGUUUCGGCGGUUGGGGAUGGACUCGCGGCUUAUCAGCUUGUUGGUGGGGUAGUGGCUUACCAAGGCUUUGACGGGUAGCCGGCCUGGGAGGGUGACCGGCCACAUUGGGACUGAGAUACGGCCCAGACUCCUACGGGAGGCAGCAGUGGGGAAUAUUGCACUAUGGGCGGAAGCCUGAUGCAGCAACGCCGCGUGCGGGAUGACGGCCUUCGGGUUGUAAACCGCUUUCGCCUGUGACGAAGCGUGAGUGACGGUAAUGGGUAAAGAAGCACCGGCUAACUACGUG